This 363-nucleotide ribosomal RNA is filed under the name Escherichia coli. RNAcentral's name for it is "bacterial SSU rRNA". It matches the Rfam family "Bacterial small subunit ribosomal RNA", at positions 1 to 360 of the family's 1533-position model. Lineage: Bacteria; Pseudomonadati; Pseudomonadota; Gammaproteobacteria; Enterobacterales; Enterobacteriaceae. The record is from RNAcentral. RNAcentral also lists the same sequence under 1 other name.
AAAUUGAAGAGUUUGAUCAUGGCUCAGAUUGAACGCUGGCGGCAGGCCUAACACAUGCAAGUCGAACGGUAACAGGAAGAAGCUUGCUUCUUUGCUGACGAGUGGCGGACGGGUGAGUAAUGUCUGGGAAACUGCCUGAUGGAGGGGGAUAACUACUGGAAACGGUAGCUAAUACCGCAUAACGUCGCAAGACCAAAGAGGGGGACCCUCGGGCCUCUUGCCAUCGGAUGUGCCCAGAUGGGAUUAGCUUGUUGGUGGGGUAACGGCUCACCAAGGCGACGAUCCCUAGCUGGUCUGAGAGGAUGACCAGCCACACUGGAACUGAGACACGGUCCAGACUCCUACGGGAGGCAGCAGUGGGGA